GUGGCCCAGUGGUUAGGACACUGCACUUCCACUGCAGAGGGCACAGGUUCGAUCCCAGUC
This 60-nucleotide transfer RNA is filed under the name Bos taurus (domestic cattle). It matches the Rfam family "tRNA", at positions 7 to 64 of the family's 71-position model. From Rfam's summary of the family: Transfer RNA (tRNA) molecules are approximately 80 nucleotides in length. RNAcentral also lists the same sequence under 4 other names. The record is from Rfam by way of RNAcentral. Lineage: Eukaryota; Metazoa; Chordata; Mammalia; Artiodactyla; Bovidae.